AUUGAACGCUGGCGGCAUGCUUUACACAUGCAAGUCGGACGGCAGCACAGAGAAGCUUGCUUCUUGGGUGGCGAGUGGCGAACGGGUGAGUAACAUAUCGGAACGUACCGAGCAGUGGGGGAUAACUAAUCGAAAGAUUAGCUAAUACCGCAUAUUUUCUGAGGAAGAAAGCAGGGGACCAUUUGGCCUUGCGCUGUUUGAGCGGCCGAUAUCUGAUUAGCUAGUUGGUGGGGUAAAGGCCUACCAAGGCGACGAUCAGUAGCGGGUCUGAGAGGAUGAUCCGCCACACUGGGACUGAGACACGGCCCAGACUCCUACGGGAGGCAGCAGUGGGGAAUUUUGGACAAUGGGCGCAAGCCUGAUCCAGCCAUGCCGCGUGUCUGAAGAAGGCCUUCGGGUUGUAAAGGACUUUUGUCAGGGAAGAAAAGGGCGGGGUUAAUACCUCUGUCUGAUG
This 454-nucleotide ribosomal RNA is filed under the name Neisseria flava. RNAcentral describes it as "bacterial SSU rRNA". It matches the Rfam family "Bacterial small subunit ribosomal RNA", at positions 30 to 484 of the family's 1533-position model. Lineage: Bacteria; Pseudomonadati; Pseudomonadota; Betaproteobacteria; Neisseriales; Neisseriaceae. The record is from RNAcentral.